CCUACGGGUGGCAGCAGUGGGGGAUAUUGCACAAUGGGGGAAACCCUGAUGCAGCGACGCCGCGUGUGGGAAGACGGUCCUCUGGAUUGUAAACCACUGUCCCCAGGGACGAAGAUGACGGUACCUGGGGCGGAAGCUCCGGCUAAGUACGUGCCAGCAGCCGCGGUAAUACGAUGGGAGCGAGCGUUGUCCGGAAUUACUGGUGGUAAAGGGAGCGUAGGCGGGGAUGCAAGUUGGGUGUCAAAACUACCGGCUCAACUGGUAGUCGCACUCAAAACUGCAGCUCUUGAGUGAAGUAGAGGCAGGCGGAAUUCCUAGUGUAGCGGUGAAAUGCGUAGAUAUUAGGAGGAACACCAGUGGCGAAGGCGGCCUGCUGGGCUUUUACUGACGCUGAGGCUCGAAAGUGUGGGGAGCAAACAGGAUUAGAUACCCCUGUAGUC
Molecule: ribosomal RNA, 440 nt
Filed under: uncultured bacterium
Lineage: Bacteria
Description: partial 16S ribosomal RNA
Rfam family: Bacterial small subunit ribosomal RNA
Source: RNAcentral